GGGACAUGCUGCACAUGGCUUUGACAUUACUAGCUUGUGCUCUUCAUCAAAAUCCACAGAAUGUUAGAGACAUGCAGCAAUACAGGGGAUACCAUUUGCUUGCUCUCUUUUUGCACCGGCGAAUGCCAUUAUUUGACAUGCAAUCACUUGAAAUCUUUUUCCAGAUUGCUGCAUGUGAGGCCUCUUUCUCUGAACCAAAGAAGUUCUAUAGUUCCCAGAAGACACUGCCA
This 230-nucleotide unclassified non-coding RNA is filed under the name Hevea brasiliensis (rubber tree). The record is from RNAcentral. Lineage: Eukaryota; Viridiplantae; Streptophyta; Magnoliopsida; Malpighiales; Euphorbiaceae.